This 42845-nucleotide long non-coding RNA is filed under the name Citrus maxima (pomelo). RNAcentral's name for it is "long non-coding RNA (CMAX_LNC001384)". The record is from RNAcentral. Lineage: Eukaryota; Viridiplantae; Streptophyta; Magnoliopsida; Sapindales; Rutaceae.
GGAAGCUUAUGCACUUGUAAGAGAGUCAAACCGGGAAAUAUUUGCUAGAGAUCCAUAUUCUAAUGCUAGUUCUAGGAGAUGUAAUCGAAUUUCUCCUGAAAGGGCAAUCAUGUAUUGUAUAUUUAAAGGAUCUGCACUAAGAGAGGAAGUUCCCCUUGAUAUAUACAUUACUGGAAAAGAGUAUCGUGCUUCUUGUCUUUAGAGAGAGAGGAAGAGCCUGGCUGCUAAUUCACACUGAUGCUUCUUUAGACAGGUACCAGAGAGGCCAUGAAAGAGGGCAACAACACCUUCUAAGAUACCCAUAUUCCAUAUAUGGUGACACCAUCACUCUAUCCAAGGGACUUGCUCCUGCUGAUCCUCUGUACUUGGCUGAGAGAGAUUAUCAGACUUAUUAUGUGGGUUCCAGACAUGAACAGCUAUUCAGAGUUUUCCCCUGUAGCUACAGCCUUCGAUUCCUACAAGCUAUUAUGGUGCUUCAUCUUUGGACCCAUAUCUGCCACCUCCAAGGAGAGAAGACAUGGCCUCAGGUUCCUACUCUGCUGCUGGAUUGAGAGUGACUUACAGAACUGAUCCCUUAAGAAGGGGAGAGAAUGAUGAAGCUGAUGGGUAAACUAUUGUAUGCCACAAGCGGUCUAUCAAACUACAACAGGCGAUACCCUAUGAAGUGCCCAAGCCGGAAUUGGCAGCCGCAUGUGUAUCAUUAAGGUACUCCUUUUCCCGUCCAUCUCUAUCUUACUGAUGACUGGUGUUUGAGUGUUUCAACUGUUCAUUCUCUGUACCGUUUGUUUCUCCUUUACCAAAUUUCUUUCUGUAUUUUGAGUCUAAAAGCAUAAUUGUCGACAGUUUGCCUGCUUUCAAGUAUAUUUCAAACCUUUCAAACCAUUUAGCUUUAUCCAGAAACUUAUGACUUUAUAGAAAGUAUUUGUUUCAUUGUAUCACUGAUGGUCAGGCCAUAAAAUUAGUUGAAUGAUGGUAUCAAGCGCUUUGCUAAUCCAACUUUCUACAAAUCAUAGACCUUUUCUCAUUCUGUAAUGGAGCCUUAGUUUGUUUCCAUUAUGUCAUUAUCUGUGCUUGAUCGGUCGCAUAUUCAUGUGCCAGAUAUUCACAUGGCGCGCGAGAGUUUCUAAGCCACUUUAUAGGACCUGCAAUUGUCUUAAACAAGCAUCUUCUUAAAUUAUUUUAAUUCCUAAUUUCUUAGGCUGAAGUAGUGUUCUGUGCUAUUGAGUUUUUUCAUGCCCCAUAUUCUGAAAAUUGAAAAUUAAUAUUUGUUUACUUUCCUCCUGAAGAUUGAAAAUUUAUAUAGUUAAUUUUCAAAUUGAGUAUGUUAUUUUAAACGUAGCACCCAUCUCCUUUAAGGAUAUAACCUUUUAAAAACAAUAUAAAUUUCACUCUUGUUAUUUGACGAGUACAAAGACUCAAUUUAUAUAAGCAUUUAAAACAUGAAAAAAAAAUGAUAAAACUGAUAUGAGUGAAUAAUGAUAGAUUAAGUGAUUAAUAAAGAUUGAGUCAGUCAAUCUUUAUGCUAAUUAACAAUCAGCUUUUCUUAAUCACUAAUUCAGACGAAAACAAUGAAUUAUUAAUUGAUUGUGUUGAAUAUUCUAUCAAUAUUACUUCAUUCUUAUCAAUAGGGAAUAAGGUUACCAUGCAAUAUGUAAGUAUUGAGUUUCAGGGGCUUUAUUUAUAUUAUUGACAAGUUAGGGCUCAUUCAUCCAAUCACUUACCCUCUUUUUGAGAUUAUUAGAGGAUAAGAAUAGAGGACUUUAGCUUAUUGUGAUUUUGUUUACUCAUUAACCUUGCUAGCAUGCUAGUAAAGCAACACUUUGCAACUGCUCCAUGGCGUUUUGAAUUUGUUAAUUUGGAUGUCCCAUGACCUUGAAAUUUAGGAUAUGUUUGCUAUCAUUUUUUAUUGAAUAUUUUUUAUUUUAUAAAAAUAAUUAAAUAGAAAAUGCGUUUGGUAGGAGUGUUUCAUAGCGAUAAUAAGACAUUGUCGAGAAUAGAAUAUUUCAAUUCUUUAACUUUUCUUAACAAAUGUAGAAAACACAUUAUUAGCGUUAUCUGAAUUUUGUUUUCUAUCUUGUAUACAUUACAUGUAUGCCCGUAUGGGGACCAUACUUUUGUGAGUUCUGUAAUCUUUUUCUGUGAAAAAAAAAUUGUGGGCUCAAAAAUAUUAAAUACAAACAUGAGACUUGCCAUGAUAAAUACAUGGUAGAUUUUAUUAUGUUUAUGCAAUAAAUAAAAUAAUAAUUAAUUUUUGUUGAAAUAAUCAUGGAUAUUCUAUAAAUUAUUGUAGAAUAUUUUAUUUAACAAAACUUUGAAAUAAUAUAAAAAAUAAAACUACUCAUAAUUUGAUAUCAAUAUUAAUUCUGACAUUAUUUUACUUGUUUAUUCAAUUUUUGCAAAAAUAUAUAAAAUAACAAAAAGAUAAAUCUAAAAUGUUAUACAUAUAGUUUAACUAUUCUAAAAUAAUUUUUAUAAAAAUUAUAUCAAAACACAUUUUCACUACUUAUAUUUUCUAGAUAAACUACCAAACAUAUUUUCAUUUUCACUAAAAAUUAAUCCUUCUUAUUUUCUAAACGAAAUUCAAAAACAAUAAAACAAUACAAAAUGCACCUUUAUUUUUUAGAUUAUUUUAUGUUUCUUUUAUUAAAUUAAUGAAAAAUGUUGUGAAUGGGAGUGAGCAAUUUACUUUAAAGCUUCUAUUUUUGUUUUGUUGGGAGGGGGGGGGAGUCCAUUGCUGUUUCCUCUUGUCUUUCGGCUUUUCAGCUUGAGUUUUCUCCACAUGCUUUACCUUUUGAAAGGCUUCCGUUACUGCUUGGGCUUUUGCAGUUGAAAUACUUGGGUUAACUUUCUCCCCUUCAAAUAAGAUACGGGUAUUUAAAUUAUGUAGAAUGUGAUUCGUUCAAUUAACACAUCAGAACUAGAUCCUCCCAGGACCCUUUACCCAGAUCAACCAAGUUGCAUUCGACAGAUUAGACUGAUUUUAGAGAAUCAACUAAACCUGACUUGACUCAAUGCAAAGGAUUGUUAGCCAAAUUAGAAAACUGAGAACAAACAAUAGAACACAGAGCUCUUAACGUGGUUCAGCCAUUAAUGGCUUACAUGCACGGGUGUAUUCAUCAGCAGGCUUUAUUGAAAGAUUCAAGAAGCUUGUUACAGAGAGUUCGAGAACAAAGAACAAGUAUUCACUUUCUCUCUACAAUUUCCCUCAAAUCUCUCUCUUACGUUGUUGUUGCUUCUGUGAAAGCCAGCAGCUUAUAAACCAGUUUCUCAACGACUUUAACAACCCAAAAUGCACAACUUCAUGCCACGUAUGCAAGGAUUCUGUUAUAACGAACAUGGCUUCAUUGAUGCUCACGUGAUUGCUCGCGUGAUCUAUUAAAGCCAAGAAACUCCAAAACGCUUACACAAAAUGUCGUGAGUAUUAAGCCUUUUAUCAACUGAGAAAAACGCUGCCGUUUGGAGCAGGUGUUUGUAUUCAUCUUACAAUUAAUAAAUUAAGUACUAGAAAUAUUUUUUAAAAAUGGGUGUGAAAAAUAUUUUGAUCAUUUGUUGGAUUCAAAUAUCUUCAUUUUUUGGGAAAUUAUUAAAUUGUCUUGUCUUAAUUAUGUAUGCACGGAGAACAUGUUUCCUAAGUUCAUGUGUACUUUUGCUCAACAAUAAAAAUAAGCGAAGAGAGAAAGAUGGGCCACUUUGUCAUCUUCGUUAUCUACCUCUACUUUCUUUUUUCACUAACGUAUGCAUCGGUUAUUUAGAAAUCUUCAUCUGUGCACUUUCCCGACAUUCCUGCUACUUACGGUAAAAUUUUGGUUUUAGCUCCUCCAUAAUUUAUUUGUUUCUUUGGAAAAAUGUAAUAUAUAUUGUAGAAUUUUUUUUUGUUCCUUACUUUUCUUUUCCUUUAGAUGUUAAUAAAAAGGACAUAUGUAAAGCUCUCCAUGUAGCGAAUCCUGCAAACGGUUGUUCCAUAUAACAACCAGGGUUGUUGCUUCUAAUGGAAUAAUCAACUUUGUUUUAAUAAUUCGUGGCGUAUGUGAUUACAACACUAAAAUCCGGAAUGCUCAACCCGUAAGUUAUCAAGCUGCAAUUGUGUACGAUGAUGGAGUAAAUGGCCAAAUGAAUUCACGUAUAUAAUAUAAAAAUCCUUUAAAAUUAUUUAAAAAUUUUAAAUUAUUAAUUUCUUUGUGUAAAUCUUAAUUUUUUUUAUGUAUAAUUAGCGUACAUAAAUCUAGAGUGCGUAAACAGACAAGCUGCGUAUGUUUUGUUCGGUGCCGGUCAAUAUCUAAAAGAGCUUGCGCAAGGGGAAGCUGGGGAAUAUUGUUUAUUUCCUCCAUCAAAAUCUUCUAUACCUUAGUAUUGGCUACUAGUGGUGGUGCUGCUACCUUUAGUGUGGGUAGCAUCAUCCACUAUUUGUGCAUGUAUGGAGGGUCAUAUUCUCGGAACCAAUCCAUCCAGUUCUGCGAUGAUGCAAGAGCAGAGUCAACAGCAACAAAGAAGAAGUCUAGUGAACGCAUGGCCUAGCUUUGUGUUCACUUAUGAAUCUCCGAAUCAAUAUAUUGGAGGCUCGAUGUGUGCCAUUUGCUUUUGAAGAUUAUUAGGAGAGAGAAAAAUCUCAAAGUACUUCCCUGCACACACGGUAAAAUCUCAAAGACUCGAGAGCAUGACGAUGUAAAAUUUUUUACCGUGUGUGCAGGGAAGUACUUUGAGAUUUUCCCCCUCCUGAUAAUCUUUAAGAGCAAAUGGUACACAUCGAGUCCCCACAUAUUGGUUCGAAGUUUCAGAAGUGAACACAAAGCUAGGCCAUGCAUUCACUAGACAUCAUCUCAGGACUGGGUGAAUUGGUUCCAAGAAUAUGACCUUCUAUACAUGCACAAAUAGUGGAUGAUGCUACUCACACUAUAGGUGACAGCACCACCACUAGUAGCCAAUAGUAAUGUAUAGAAGAUUUUGAUGGAGGAAAUAAACAACAUUCACCAGCGUCCCCCCGCGCAUGUUCUUUUAGAUAUUGACCGGCACCGAACAAAACAUACGCGGCUUGUAUGUUUACGCCCUCUAGAUUUAUGUACACUAAUUAUACACAAAAAAAAAUUAGGAUUUACAUAAAGAAAUUAAUAAUCUAAAAUUUUUAAAUAAUUUUGAAGUAUUUUUUUUAUUAUAUACGUGAAUUCAUUUGGCCGUUUACUCCAUCAUUGUACACAAUUGCAGCUUGAUAACUUACGGGUUGAGCAUUCCUGAUUUUAGUGUCGUAAUCACACACUCCACGAAUUAUUAAAACAAAGUCGAUUGUUCCAUUAGAAGCAACAACAGGGUUGCUAUAUGGAACAACCGUUUGCAGGAUCCACUACAUGGAGAGCUCUACAUAUGCCAUUUUUAUUAACAUCUAAAGGAAAAGAAAAGUAAAGAAUAAAAAAAAAAUUCUACAAUAUAUAUUGCAUUUAUCCAAAGAAACAAACAAAUUAUGGAGGAGCUAAAACUGAAAUUUUACCGUAAGUAGCAGGAAUGUCAGGAAAGUGCACAAAUGAAGGUUUCCAAAUAAUCGAUGUAUACGUUAGUGAAAAAAGAAAGUGGAGGUAGAUAACGAAGAUGACAAAGUGGCCCAUCUUUCUCUCUUCGUUUAUUCCUAUUGUUGAGCAAAAGUACACAUGAACUUAGGAAAGAGGCUCUCCGUGCAUACAUAUUUAGGACAAGACAAUUCAAUAAUUUCCCAAAAAGUGAAGAUAUUUGAAUCCAAUAAAUGAUUAAAAUAUUUUUCACACUCAUUUUUUAAAAAAUAUUUCUAAUACUUAAUUUGUUGGUUGUAAGGUGAAUACAAACACCCACUUCUCAGUUGAUAAAAGGCUUAAUAAACUCACGUGAUAAGCACGACAAUCAUUAAGUUGAAACGACAUUGUGCUUAAGCGUUUUGGAGAAAUAUACUAAGUAGCCAUACCUUAUGAGUAGAGAUCACAAAAAAGUUUUGAUGUUUUUCCGUUGUAAUUGUCAAAAGGAAAAGAUGGAUACAUAUGAGGAUAUCCUUGUUCUAGAAAUCAAGGGUAUAAGCAUCUGCAAGUUGGUAUUGCAUGGUCCUUAUUUUUCAAGAAUGAAUGUACAUCGAAAAUUCAUCAAAAACCAUGGUCUGUAUUGUUGGCAUUCUUAGAUUAGGAUACUUAAUUUUUAGGUGUUUGUAUAACCAAAUUUGAAAAGAGAUUUUAUGGAAAGUUGUUCACUAUGCAUCAUCUUGCAAUGAUGAUGUACAUGCCAAAAUUUGGCAUAUUAGACUUAGACAUAUAGCUAAGUUGGCUAGAGAGAGCACAUUGGGCUCACUCAUCGUAAUGAUAAAGUGUAUGUGUGAAAUUCGUUUAAUAUAGAAAAACAACUUGGAAAACCACAAGGCAAAGGAACAAAAGCCAAAUGCUCAUUGCGAGUAGUCCAUUUUGACAUUGUGGUAAAAUGAAUGUAAAGGCUAGAAAUGAAGCCCAUAGUGAUUACAUUUAUAUAUCUAUCUAUUUUGGUCGAAUAUCUUUGAUCUCCUAUAAAUAAGUUGUACCAGGAUACUUCAAAUUACUUUUGGAUAUGGUAGAGAUCGAAUUAAAAUAAACCAAAAUAUAUAUAUCUUUCUAAGCAAUUUUGGGAACUGUAUACAAGAAAGAUAAAGAUAGAUAAUUGGUUAUUUUUAAAAUACCGCACUACUUGGAGUAGUGCAAAUUAAGGAGUAGAGCAUUAUGAGAAUUGAUAAAGUAAUAGUAGCUCAUGAGCUUCUCCAGUAUGUUGUUUGGCGAAAAUCUAUUUGAUUGCAACUUAAAUACUUAAUUAAUUUCUCAUAGGAUGAGUCAUUUACGCACCAUUCUGGUAAAGUACCUAACAUAACAUGUUUGCAACCUGGGAUUUGCAUUAAGAUAUAUUGAACAAAGAAAUAGGGCCUGUGUUGAAUAGUGAAUGAAUGGUUGAAAAAGUGACUGGAUAAAAAACCACAAAUGUCAAAAUUUCAAAUUCCUAAGCAUUAUAGAAUUUCUUAAGAACUCGCUGCAAAGUGUUUGGGUUUGCAAAGUUUUCUUUCAUGGUCAUCAUUUCCGCAUUUGUUCACGGAAUUAAGAAGUUCCUAUGCAAAGUGUUUGGGUUUGCAUAGUUUUCUUUCAUGGUCAUAAUUUCCGCAUUUGUUCACAGAAUUAAGAAGUUCCUGUGCAAAGUGUUUGCGCUUGCUGGCUAAUGGGAUUUUGUUUUCCUCUAAUACUCUUUUCCUGCCAAUCAUUGCUUUGGAAGUUGCUUGAAGCGUGAAAAAGAAGAAGCCCUACAACGACGUCCUUGAAGAGAGCCGGGCUAAGUUCUUGUUCGUGAAGCGGUUUUGGGUUGAUGAUAACGACCCGACGUGGGCAAUUGAUACCCAAUCGGCGUCGGCGAUUGAUAACCAUAUAAUCCUCUGAUCAUAAGUUGUUGCUGCCGCCCUUAAUCCUAUUGAGGGGAAGAGAACCACGACAAAUCACUAAUUAUAAGGUGACUAAUGAAUAAUGAUAAGCGCGUAGAAAAUAACAUAUAUAAAUAAUGUGAAAAGGAAUACAGAUAUUAAAAAAAAUCGAAUUAAAAUUUCAUUAAAAAUUUUAUUGCAUCCCAUUAUAUGAGAAGCAAAGAAAUUUAUUUGUCCUACCUCUAAGCAAAUCCUAAGAAGAAUAAUAGCGUGAAACAUAACCAAGCUCUGGAGUUUGAUUAUGCUGGCAGUUUCCUUAGCUCUGCUUAUUUCUGUUACAUUUUUACUUUCAUAAAGAUAUGAUAUGGUAGACAUAUAGCUAGAUAUUAUCAGUACUACUUAAUUUUAUUUUAAAUUUUUAAAGAGUGCAUGUGAUGGUUUUGAAUUAGCAUAAGCACACGGUUGUCCUUGAUUGUAACGCUUGAAACAUUUGUGCAAUGGAAAUAAUCUUGAGAAAUUAGUAGUUGUAAAAAAAAUAAAAAUAAAAUAAAAUAAUUGCAUAAUAGAAAGUAUGAACUAGUGAACCUUCCUUAUAUCGCUGCUUUUGUGGCCCAUACCUUUUCUCCCUGUUGAUGCAAUUUUGACCCUUGCUGAUGUCACUUAGCUUGGUCAUUAUUACGUUGCUCUUGCUGAUGUUGCAAACUUGCAGUGCUGUCUUUACUAUUACAGUUUUUUUUUUUUUUUUUGACCACGAGAUAUCUUGGGGAGGGCCCCAAUUAUGGGAGGUACCUUUAAGCUUGUACCACAACCUAGACUAGAAGUCUCCGCUCGAACCGAGAGGCACAUGUUCUCUUAACAAAAGCGACUUCCCUACUACUCGAACUGGGGAGCAAACUCAGUCAAGCCACUUAAGGAGACUCCAUUGCCAGUGGAGCCAACACUUUAUUGGUACUAUUACUGCUUCUUUUAUUCUCCUUAAUUGUGGUUACCAAUACCAUACCGGGACUUUAAGGCAUGCAUGGUAGAGGGGCUCAAUAUUAAGCGCCCCUCAUUGUUUGGCUGCCAGCAGCUAAACCAACCGUUUUAACUUAAAGAGUAAUCGGUUGCUCCAUUUAUUGACAACUUAAUUUAAAAUUAUAAUUAAAAUAAAAUAUUUAUGAAUUAUAUAAUUUUUAAAAAAUAAAAAAGGAUGAUUAUAGAAAAAAUGAAACCAAUAUUUUAUAUAGUCAGUAUUAUUAAAAAUAAAAUAAAAUUUAUAUCUGCAAAAAGAUAGAAGUGCAAUUCAUGUCUUAUAAUUUGUCUCGUGUUUAACAUCUAAAAGGUUCAUGUAUUUUAUUUCAUGUUUUAUAUCAUAAAUUCUAAAUACACACAAAAUUUUCUUUUCCCUCUCAUUUCAUUUUGCCAUUCAAGUUUCAGGUCAAACUUUUCGAAUUUCAUGACUAGCGUUUUGUUUUUCAUGUUUUAUGUUUCAUAUUUAUCUUAAGUAAAAUGUUUCAUAUUUAUAAUUUUAUGUUUGACGUAGGAUAUUCCAAAUAUCCUAAAACUUUUUCUUUUUUACUUCCAUUUCAUGUUGGCAUUCAAGUUUCACAUGGUAAACUAUUAAUCUCAUCUCAUAAGGUUUUAUGUCGAUUAAUUGUAUCAUGUUCUCAUUAUUAGUUUUACACAAUAUAAAUAAUUUGCUUCAAGAUUUUAGGUAAGUAUUAAUUUCAUAUUGGAUGGUGGUGGUUUCAAGUAUGGAUCCAGCUACAUUGCAUCAUGGGUUUGGUACCCCACUCAUUUGUCUGUUAGCGAAUGACCCUUUAGAUUGUAAAGAAAGAUAGUUAAUGGCUGAGAUUUAAUAGGUGGAAAAUGGGUAACCGGCUGAAGUUGUAGCACCAGUAAAACAAAAAAAUAAAGGGUAAGUAUCAUCUUUCUCCCCAUAAGUGAAUUGUACAGGCGACUGUUGUGGAUAUUAUUGUCUUCAUACUGGUUUCAGAAAGGUGUAUUGAGGUAUUGAAUCUUAUUAAGUUGGGUGUUGAUACGCAAAACAAGGGAUUCACUUAUUGGGUCAGCGGGGAAAAAGAAGAUUAGGGUUUUUAUUGGGAAAAUUGGGGAUUUUCUAUCCGAUUAACGCCCUGCAUCUCUACACCGCCACUGUCUUCCGACACUAACUCCAGCAACGCACAAUCUGCCUCCACGAGAUCUGCCUCCACACUGCCACUGUCGCACGACACCGCGACACCACCAGCUCCAUUGUCUUUGCGAUCUACCUUCACGACGCAUGACACCACUACCCGACACGCCUUUGCGACGUUGUGAGUGGCUUUAAAAGAAGGAAAAAAAAUAAAGAAACGAGAGUGAGAGCAGAGCAUAAUAGAAUUGUCAAGCUCUUUGUUAGAAUCAUCACAAAAUUUAUAUUGGAUCGGGGCUAUUCAAUGUGAUGCAUUUGGAUUUGCUAUCUGCUAGACAGGCAACAACAUGUAAAAGCAUUUUGUCCCCAUUUUAGAUUUACUAUCUAGUAUCUUAUAGGCUUAAUCUAAAUAGAAACCAUGCAGGAUACCAGACACAAUUCUAAUGUUAUUUUACAACUUUUUUUAGCCAUAUUUCAAGACCCCAAGUUUAUGUCAUGAUAAUUGUGUGAUUGAUAAGAUAUUUUGUGUUUUGGACUUUAUCUCAUGGAUUUAGAGUUCGAUUAUGUUUGUAAUUGGAAUAAUGUGUUCAUUUACAUAUGAUGUUUGAUGAAAUUGCCAUAAGAUUAAUUCAAUUAUAUAUGUUUUUUAUGCUGAAUUAAUAUUAAUACAAUUAUGUAUGUCUAUGGUGCUGAAAAAGUAGAGCAGAAAUUUUAUCAAUGGGUUGGUUUCACUAGUUCAAGAAAGUAAAGCAAAGAAAUUGUCUUUAUACACUUAACCCUUCCUCUAUUUAAAAUAUAAAAAAAUUAUUGAAAUUUUUGGAAGUGAUUUGUUCAUUUUGUUUGUGCACUUAUGUAGAUGGAUUUACUUUUGGUUGCUUAACCCUUCCUCACUUAUGUCUUUUUAGUUCAAGUUGCAGUAUUUUGCUGCUGUGCAACAACAGAAGAGGCUGUUUUUAUUGCUGUUUAUGCAGAAACACAGCACCUGGAAGCAUCCAGGUGCUGUUUAGCUGCUGUUUAUGCAGAAACACAGCACGUGGAAGCAUCCAGGUGUUGUUUAGCUGCUGUUAUGCAGCAAAAGCAGCACUUGAAAGUUUCCAGGUGCUAUUUUUACUGCUGUUCACACAGAAACGCAGCACCUAGAAGCGUUCAGGUGCUGUUUAGCUACUGUUAUGCUGCAAAAACAGCACCUGAAAACUUCCAAGUGCUGUUUUUACUGUUGUUUAUGCAGAAACAAAGCACCUGGAAGCAUCCAAGGGGUGCUUUACUGCUGUUUUGUAAUUAAAAUUGCACUUAGAAAUUUUGGGUUCUAUUUCGCUGAAAUUUUGCUACUAACAGUGCAGCUGAAUAAUUUCGGGUGUUGUUUAGUUGUUGUUUUGGACCUUCUUUAGUUCUUUUCUCUUAUGUCUAUACUUAAUCUCCCCCCCUCCCCCUCCCCGGGUAAUAAGCAAGUACAACUUUUGCAAGGUAAUAUCCAAGCAUGCUAUUAAUUCUUUGGUUAAUCAUAGUAUUCUAAACAUUAGGUCUCAUUUUUUUUUUUCCAAGUGUAUAAUGGAUAUGUACUGGAUGUCUUAUGGAUGAUGUAGUUAAUGCUUUUUUAUUGUCUCUAUUUUGGCAAAUAUUUUUGUCAUUUAUUAUCUAAACACAUGGUUGAUAAACUUACUUAGGUAAGUCUAUUAAUUAAUAGCAAUUUGGUACUUUAAAGUCUUGUUUUACAACUUAAGUCACUAAAAUGAUUUAAUAUUUAUGAUUUAUAAUAUAUGAAUAUAUCUUAAUUUCUCUUUAUUCUUUGUAAGAAUGACAUAGAUUGCUGACACUGGUGAGACUUGUUUGCAAUUGAAGACUUGACGAGAAAUUAGAUGUACUCACGCAUGCCAAUCUUGUUGGUUGCUAGUGCAGUCAUUAGUAGAUAUUAAGUAGUUGUGAGAAUUUUUGUAGAGCUAUCUCUUUGUAUAUGAAACAUUUGCAUCUUUUUUGUUUGUGGAAAAAUAAUUGUAAAGAAUUUAAUAUGAAAUUAGAAUUAAAAUGAGGCUUGAAAUAGUCUUAAAUUUUCCAUAUUUAUUUUUUAAUAAUAAAUAACAAAGAUGACGGUUAUUUGAAAAGAACCGUCAUCAAAUGUAGUGUUUAGAAACAAAGAUGACGGCUUUUUUUUUCGAAACCGUCAUAAAAUGUUGUUCAAUAUUUAAUAACGGUUCUUAUAAUAUAUAUACAUAUAUAAUGACGGUUCUUACAAUAAACCGUCAUUAAAAUGACACAUUUAAUAACUGUUAUAUAAAAAACAGUCAUCAAAACAUAUAUAAUUACUAUAAAUAAUGACUAUUUUAGAAAAUAACCAUCAUUAAAAAUAUAUAUUUAAUGACGAUUAGUGAACCGUCAUAAAAAACAUACCCUCUUUAAUGUUGGUGCCUAAGAUGAUGGUUUUAAAACCGUCAUAAAAGACUAAUUCUGUAGUAGUGAAGCAAGGAAAACACAAGGAAUAACAAUAUUGUUAUUCCUCAAUCACUGGGGCGCCAACAACACCAGGUACACCUAAAACAAGAAUAGAUUUAGCGGCUUAAAAGGUAGAACGUUCAACACCUUCAUAGUCAUUUCCAAUGGCAAGGGAAAGGCUUGCAACAUUAUCAAAACUUAAAUUUCUUGGAUACAUUCUUUUUAGCGAAAUAACAUAUGAAAGCAAAACUAUAUCUAAUUUUUUCUAUUCACCUAAGAAUGAAUUAUAUCUACAAAAAAGUCAUAAUAACACAUCUUUAAAAAUAUUUCACAAUAUGAUUACAGAAGUGUUUGUUAUGCCCCUGAAGGAUCCGCCUUGCACGCAAUCGUGAUUUCACGCACCUCUUUUUUUUUUUUUUUUUCAUAUCCAAUCAUUAGAUUCAACGCAGGAGUUCUAAAAGGUUUUAUAGCCGCACGAAGAUAAUCACUACUAACGUUGUAGCCCUUCCUAUUUUAUGAAAUUAUAAGGAAACGUUAGGUUUUAAAAUUUUAACACAUAAGCCCUAUCUAUUAUUUUAUGGGUCAACACUAUUUUAUGAAAUGAACAUAUUUAAAUAUUAAUACUAUAGAUGGAUUACUUUAACUUGCUAAAAUACUCUACACACCCAUUUACUUCAAAUACGAAAUUGGAUUACAAUAUUCUUAUCUUUUGUUUACUUUAACACAGGAUUGGACAAGGUCUUACAUACGUUUUGGCAAUUUAAAGUGAAUAUAUAUUAAAUAAAUGCUUUGAUAGCAAUUUACGUGUCGCUAUACAAUCCAUGUUUAGUACAUUCAAAAUAAAUAAUUUCUAUAUGUAAAUUUGAAUUUAUUUCAAAUUACUUAUACCUAGUGUCAUAUAUGAGUCCAACAUUUUUUUUGCAAAAUUAUUAUCCCAAUUAUUCAUUUAAUGUGAAAACAAAUAAAUUGUGUAAUAUUUAUGCUAUUAUUUAAUUUUAAGCUUGUCAACAAUGAACAAUACUGUAAAUUAAUAGAUUAUGGGAGAAUGUCCUAUCAAAAAAUUAUUUUCUCAAAUAUCUUACUUUUACGGCUUCUAACAUAACCCUAUCUUCUGUUGUUAAAAUAAAAUUACAUUCGGCCAUAUUGCUUUUACUUCUCUCUAACAUUUUCACAAGUAUCCUUACUUCGCUAGUUUGAGAAAUGUUCUAAGCUUAUUUAGCGACUUGCGUGCUAGAAGUCAUCUAAGUGUCGCACGGGUUUGCUGCGCAAAACACUCAUCCCGUGACAGACUGCUAAUGAAAAUAGAUAGGAUAGGGUGUUUGGUUCAACAAGCCCAAGAUAGUUUUCUCUUUAUUUUUUUCCUCUUUUAACUUAUCCUUCACCUCAAUUUAGAUUGUCAUUCUUGGUUGAUCAUAAUUUAUUAUUUUUAUUAUUAUUAUUAUUAUUAUUAUUAUUAUUAGAUCUUACAUGCAUGUAAGAUACAUUCCUCUCACAUGAAUAGUGUGUGGGUCCCACACAUGCACUAUUCAUGUGAGGGGGAUGUAUCUUACAUGCAUGUAAGAUAGGGUUUGCCUAUUAUUAUUACUACUACUACUACUACAUGGUAUUUAAUUGUUCUUCACAUUUUUUUAUAUGAUUUUCAUUUACUUAACUCACGCUCCUAUUUUCCACAAAAAAAGAAUUAUAGGGCAACUUAACUGUAAAUUCAAGCAAGGCUAGUUUCGGGAUUAAAAUUGAUAUUUCUCCCUUUUUUCCCACCAAGUGCGCAAUGCAUUACCUGAUGACUUAAAUCCACUUCCAAAUAUUUUCAUCACUAUUUUCGAAAAUUUCAAAUGAAACCCCAACCCGUACUUGCACGCUUCCCGUUCCCUGUUUGCAACCAUUACUUGCAUGCACCCGUUCCCUGUUUGCUUACAUGCGUUACUUAUUAAAUAACUUCCAACCCAUUACAUGCGUUAUUUUGUCAAAAAGUUGAUUCCCUGCAGCUUACCGGCCCAUUACCUUUUUGUCAGGUUAUUCCCUAAUGUCUCUGUGUCUCUUCUGCAGCCGUGAGAUGAAAUCCAACGGUGACUGUGCUACAAGACAAACGACUGGGGUAACAAAACCCAUGACGCAAUGUAGCUGCCCCCUUCAAGUAUAAUUAUUAAAUUUAAAAUUUUUUGCUUAAGGUUUUACGAUAUAAAUUUUGGGUAAAAAUUAUAUGUUUAAUGGCGGUAGUUUCAUAUUUACUGCUAUUAAUUUCCGCACUAUUACUCACAAAUUAUACAAGUGACAUGAUAACUGAAUUUCUAGUCUUCUCAAAUUAGUUGAUUUAAUUAUAAAUUUAAUCUUAUCCGUUAGGUUUCUUAUUACUGAAUCCAACGGUAAGCAUCUACCUCUACAUCACAUACAUACCUGCACGGUAGCCAUGCCCUAUAAGUCAGCGGUGAGCUCCCAUUUCUACUUUCUCCUAAAUAAAUUUGAACUACAAUGUGAGAGAGCAUGUAAUAAAGAUGAACACACUUAAGUAAAUAAUUUAUAUGCCAAGAUAGAAGUGAUAGUUCUCCAGAGAGUUAAUUUGUUGGUAGACCCUCUGGGGGGACAGUUUAGGGCUUCCAUUCAGUGGAAUUACGUACCUUGCUUUUCAUAUUUUGUCCUUCUUUUGAUUUUGUAUUGCCAACCCGUUGCUUUUUUUAAUUUGUUAUUCGGGUCCUUCUAUAAUACCAUAAUUAAAAUUACGGUUUCAAUAUCGUAAUAGACGUAAACCGUUAGAUUGAAUGAAAAAUCUCUACCAUUAAUUAUAAAUAAAUAGGUAAGUAAUCAGUAAUUAUACUUUUUUGUUCAAGUUAGAGGUUACAUUUAUUAGUCUUAUGUGUGAUUCACAAAUUUAAUGUGUUAUUUGACAUUUAAUGUCAAUUUAUAAGUUUUAUGUCAUUUUUCUAAGUUUUUAUUUUGUUUAUAAUUUCUUGUUUCAAUUUACUGCUCCAACAUUAAUUUACCCAUUUUUUUCAAUUUAUUAGUCCUAUACGUAGUUUCCAUUUUUUUUUCAUUUCACACUUAAUGUCAAUUGUCAAGUUUUAUGUCAUUUUUCUAAGUUUUUUUUUUACAAUUCCAAAGACCAAUUUUACUACUUCAACACCAAUCUACUCAUUUUUCAUUUAAUUUACUACUCCUAUGUGUGGUUUAUAAUUUUUUUUUUAUUUUAUUUCAUACUUAAUAUCAUUUUAUAAGUUUUAUAUUAUUUUUUAUUUUUUGUCUUUUUUAUAAUUUAUUUUCUAAUUUACCACUCCAACAUUAUUUUACCACUUUUUGCUUCAAUUGACUAGUUUUAUGUGCGUUUACAAAUUUCUUGUUUCAUUUCAAACUUAAUGUUAAUUUACAAGUUUUAUGUCAUUUUUCUAAAUUUUUAUUUUGUUUAUAAUUUCUUUUUUCAAUUUACUGCUCCAACAUUAAUUUACUCAUUUUUCCUUCAAUUUACUAGUCCUAUAUGUAGUUUACAAAUUUUGUUAUUUCAUUUCACACUUAAUGUCAAUUUUCAAGUUUUAUAUAAUUUUUCUAAGUUUUUGUUUUUGUUUUUUUUUUUACAAAUCGAAAGACUAAUUUACUACUCCAACAUUAAUCUACCUAUUUUUCAUUUAGUUUACUAAUCCUAUGUAUGAUUUAUAAUUUUUUUAUUUAAUUUCACACUUAAUAUCAAUUUACAAGUUUUAUAUUAUUUUUUUAAUUUUUUGUCUUUUUUAUAAUUUCUUGUUCUAAUUUACCACUCCAACAUCAAUUUACCACUUUUUGCUUCAAUUUACUAGUCCUCUUUUUGCUUCAAUUUACUAGUCCUAUGCGUGAUUUAUAAUUUUUUUUGUUUCAUUUCACACUUAAUAUCAAUUUUUAAGUUUUAUGUCAUUUUCUGAGCUCUUAUUUUAUUUACAAUUUCUUAUUCCAAUUUACAACUCCAAUAUUAAUUAUUUACCUUUUUUUUUCCAUCAAUUUACUAGUCUUAUACCCGGUUUACAAACUUUUUGUUUCAUUUCAAACUUAAUGUCAAUUUAUAAGUUUUAUGUUAUUUUUCUAAGUUUUUGUUUUGUUUACAAUUUCUUGUUCCUAUUUAUUACUUCAACAUUAAUUUGCCCAUUUUCCUUCAAUUUAUUAGUCCUAUGUGUGGUGCAUAUAUAUUUUUAUUUUAUUUCACACCUAAUGUCGACUCACAAGUUUUAGGUCAUUUUUCUAACUUUUUUUUUUUACAAUUCCAACAAAUACUUACCAACAAUCAAACACAUAAUAUUUACUAUCAGAAGACUUACAAUGAAAGGCUGAUUUUUCCUUAAAAUUUCAUUUUGUUGGUUCACAUCAUCAUUCUCCUUGAAGUUAGUCUCGUUACCCUUUAUCCACAAUUUUAGCCAUUUUCAAGUUGACCAAAGAACCUGUACAUGAAGAGAUUAGACACAAACAAGGAAAAAAAGGGUUUACAUGAAACUACCAUCAUCAACUUUAUUCAAGACAUUUACCUAUUUUCAAGUUUCAACAAACAAGCUUCUGCAGUCGUUUCUAAAAAAAAAUAGAAAAAAAUUUGAACCAAGCUAAAGAUGACUAUAUUUAAAACAAGCUUCUGCAGUCAUUUUAAAAUGCGGACUUGCAUCUAAACAUGACUCAUAUAUAAUAAGCUAAGUAAAAAACUAUAUUGAAAAAUAUCGAUUCCAUUCAAAACUUUUCCCAACUAUAAGCAUUUCUUUUCCUUAGGGUUAAUUUAAUGGUAACAAAAGACAACUUAAAAUAACCAAAAACAUUCCACAAGAAAUGUCCAAAGCUCACAAUUCUGGAUCCUGUAAAAAUAUUUUGCAAAUAAACAUUUCAAUCCAAAAUUCAAUCCCCCCAAAAGCAAGAAUUAGGAACACCUUUUCUGAAAAAUCAAGCUAGCAUUUGCUUCCAGAAUAACCUGUUUGGGAAGGAAAUACGAGACCAAUGAUGAAGCGCCACGUGUCGAUAUGUAAGAGAUUAAUUUGUCUCGGGGUACCUUGGGUACCUCGGGUAUCUCGGGUACUCUAGGUACCUCGGCUAACCUAAGGACUCCGGGGGUACCUCGGGUACACCAUGAAAGGAAAUAAAAAUCUUCGUAAAUAUGUGAAGGGAUAUGUGGGCCCCGAAUCUCAAUUUUAUUUCACACCUAAUGUCGACUCACAAGUUUUAGGUCAUUUUUCUAACUUUUUUUUUUUCAAUUCCAACAAAUACUUACCAACAAUCAAACACAUAAUAUUUACUAUCAGAAGACUUACAAUGAAAGGCUGAUUUUUCCUUAAAAUUUCAUUUUGUUGGUUCACAUCAUCAUUCUCCUUGAAGUUAGUCUCGUUACCCUUAUCCACAAUUUUAGCCAUUUUCAAGUUGACCACAAGAACCUGUACAUGAAGAGAUUAGACACAACAAGGAAAAAAAAGGUUUACAUGAAACUACCAUCAUCAACUUUAUUCAAGACAUUUACCUAUUUUCAAGUUUCAACAAACAAGCUUCUGCAGUCGUUUCUAAAAAAAAAUAGAAAAAAAAUUUGAACCAAGCUAAAGAUGACUAUAUUUAAAACAAGCUUCUGCAGUCAUUUAAAAUGCGGACUUGCAUCUAAACAUGACUCAUAUAUAAUAAGCUAAGUAAAAAACUAUAUUGAAAAAUAUCGAUCCAUCAAAACUUUUCCCAACUAUAAGCAUUUCUUUCCCUUAGGGUUAAUUUAAUGGUAACAAAAGACACUUAAAAUAACCAAAACAUUCCACAAGAAAUGUCCAAAGCUCACAAUUCUGGAUCCUGUAAAAAUAUUUUGCAAAUAAACAUUUCAAUCCAAAAUUCAAUCCCCCCAAGCAAGAAUUAGGAACACCUUUUCUGAAAAAUCAAGCUAGCAUUUGCUUCCAGAAUAACCUGUUUGGGAAGGAAAUACGAGACCAAUGAUGAAGCGCCACGUGUCGAUAUGUAAGAGAUUAAUUUGUCUCGGGUACCUCGGGUAUCUCGGGUACUGUAGGUACCUCGGCUACCCUAAGGACUCCGGGGGUACCUCGGGUACACCAUGAAAGAUAUAAAAAUCUUCGUAAAUAUGUGAAGGGAUAUGUGGGCCCCGAAUCUCAAAAAGAUCCAUUUGAUACGUGUCGAAAAAUAAGGAAAUCUUGCCGCAAAAGAGGAGACAGCCGCCUGUCACGCUAGCGAAUCCGCCAAAAGUGUAAUAUUGUGACAGUUGGGACCACCAGCUUUUCCUGCUACACCUGCAAAAUUACAACGGAAUUGCAGAGGUACGCGGGACCACUCCACUACGCCCAGCACGUGAAUACGCCACAAACUUGCUCUCCACUGAUAUUUUUGAAACGUCUAAGCCGCCAUACGCAUGAAAAUAAGAAUAUUCCUGACAUGACAGCAGGAACGCCACUAAAAUAGCGCCAGGUGGCACGGCGACCGGGGUACACCAUAUAAUACUCAGGUUUGAUUUUUAUCAAGUAAGUAAACACACUCACCACAAAACUAGGGUUUCUUCAACCUUAAAAUCUCCAUUACCGAGAGCUUGCAAGCUCUCUAACCUGAGAUAACCCAAUUCUGACUUGAGCGUCGGAGUGUGGUCGCCGGCCACCCCGGCUCCACCUCUGACCUUUUUUUUUGGUUGUUUCGCAGGUUUAAGGCGAGUUUCACCAGCCCUCCACACCUGAAGUCAGACCCCCUCCAUAUCCACCGUCAUCUCAAUCCUCAUUCACUCCACAAAAAGCCUAAACAGCCCGCACGUGCCGAACAAGCGAGGUACCCCCCGCUCCCCGACAAAAAUAUAAAUUUAUUGCUCUUGGGUUGGUUUUGUGGUUUUUUAUACAUUGACCCAAAAUCAGCCGCAAACAAUUGGCGCCGUCUGUGGGGACACGAGCAAAAGCUUCCACACGGUGCUAAGCUUGUCGGUACGUGUGCUUGCACAGCCAUGGCACCCGACGUACCCGCUGAUAACCAAAUGCUAGGUCAUGAUGGAACAGAGGACCACGGCGAUGAUGAGAGAGGUGACUCGACAAGGAGGGCAUCCCGCUUAGAGAAAGGCAAAUCAGUUAAGCAAUCAGCUGGUAUUCAAACCCGAUGAGGAGCCCGUUACUCAUAAACACUUUGAGGAUUUAGCUCAUGCGAUUCUCAGAGCAGUAGGAUCUCGGGUACCCGAAGCAGCCACUUCUCCGGUAACUCAAGAUGUCCCGCCUCCACGCGGUGAGAAAUAGAUCAUACCAAGAUCUGAAAUACCGGAGGGAAGUAGACCAAAGCAUGGGCCAUCGGGCACCCGUUCAAAGUUUCAAGCCGCCGGCUCCCGGGAAGAACGCUCCACUGCCUCUUGUUAUUCCCGUAGUAGCCAGGGUACCAAACGUAAACAAAAAGCCCAUGAAGAUCUCCGGUACAAGUUGAACGCCAAAAGAGCUUCCCAGACAACAGCGGCCUCCUCAGGUGCACCUGGGGUACCCCGGGAGUUCCUGGAAAAAAUGGAGUACCUCGAAGCUCAAGUGAAGCUCCUUUAUGAAAAACAAAACCCCACCAAUGCUCUAGCGACAGCAGUGCAUAACUCGCCAUUCAUCAUGGAGAUUCGGACAGCGGUUCUCCCGGACGCAUUCACCAUGCCUCAAAUACAACAAUACUCGGGUACCUCGGAUCCCGUGGAACAUGCUGAGUUAUAUCGUGACCAGAUGAUGAUUAAAGGAUGGGCGACAAUGCUAUGUGCCGGAUAUUCCGCAUACCCUCACCGGACCAGCCAAGUCAUGGUUCCGAUCGUUGAAGGCAGGUAGUGUAUCCUCCUUAGACCAGCUCCUAAAAGAUUAUGUUCAUGAGUUUGGUUAUGCAUCCGCCCAAGAUAUAACAAGAAGUCUAUGACGCCAUCGAACAAGAAGUGGACCCGAUUGCUAGCAGCGGGGUUUAUUAGGGAGGCGGUGUACCCCGAUUGGGUCUCAAAUAUUGUAUUGGUUAAGAAGUCUAACGGGAAAUGGCGCAUGUGUGUAGAUUUCACGGAUUUAAACAAGUCUUGCCCUAAGGAUAGCUUCCCGCUUCCCCGGGUAGACCAGCUGGUCGAUGCUACGGCUGGGCACGAGAUGCUUAGUUUCAUGGAUGAUUUCUCCGGGUACAACCAAAUUCCAAUGUACGAGCCUGUUCAAGAUAAAACGGCCUUCAUCACCAACCGUGGGUUAUACUGCUACAAGGUUAUGCCUUUUGGUUUGAAGAAUGCGGGCGCCACCUAAAGUCCAAAGCUGCUCGAUAUUGUCUCAUCGAGGAUACCUUAUUCAGAAGAGGGUUUACCCUCCCUUACUUAAAGUGCUUGGGAAAUGAACAUGCCGAAUAUGUCAUGAGAGAGAUACACGAAGGGAUUUGCGGUAACCACUAUGGAGCACAAUCAUUGGCACAGAAGACCCUUCGUCAAGGAUUUUAUUGGCUUACGAUGCGGGAGGAUGCCAAAAACAUGGUCAAGAGUUGUGACAAGUGCCAGAGAUUUGCCAGGGUACCCCACCUUCCACCAGAAAAGUUAACUGUCAUGUCUUCUCCGUGGCCAUUUGCUGUUUGGGGUAUAGAUCUCAUUGGCCCACUACCAACUGGUAGAGGACAAGCUAAGUAUGCAAUUGUAGCCGUUGACUAUUUCACAAAAUGGGUAGAAGCGAAGCCGUUGGCAAGCAUUACGGAGAGAAAAACCACUGAUUUUGUUUGGAGGAAUCUCAUAUGCAGAUAUGGUAUCCCUAAUGCAAUUGUCAGCGACAACGGGAAGCAAUUCGACAACGAAAAAUUUCAGAAUUUCUGCCCGGAGCGUGGGAUACCAACCAAUUUCCUUCUUCGGCUCACCCGCAAUCUAAUGGACAAGUGGAAGCCAUCAACAAAAUCAUCAAGGGUAUCCUAAAGAAGAGGCUGGAGGAAAGGAAGGGAGCUUAAGUAGACGAGUUACCCGGCGUUCUUUGGGCCUAUCGGACAACUCAAAAUAUUUCAACUGGGGAAACCCCAUUUUCUCUGGCUUUCGGGACUGAUGCAGUCAUUCCAGCUGAAAUCGGGAUACCCUCUCACAGAAUCGCAUACUUCGAUGAAGCUGAGAAUGCCUCUUUGAUUGCGUCCAAUCUUGAUUUUGUUGAAGAAAAAAGGGCCAAAACAGAAUUGAAGGUUGCAAUAUACCAGCACCGCGUUUCAGAUUUAUACGACAAGAGGGUACACCCCAGAUCAUUCAAGAAAGGGGAUUUAGUCCUACGAAGGGUAACUCAGAAUACCCAGGUACCCUCGGAGGGCUCUUUCGGAGCCAAUUGGGAAGGCCCAUAUCGCAUAGACAAGCCAGUAGAUUCGGGGGCAUACAGACUACUCCACAUGGAUGAAACAAUCGUCAAGCAUCCCUGGAAUGCCACAAUGCUGAGGAAGUACUACUAACAUGAGGACAGUGUCUUAAACCUUAUCGUUCACUUUAUCUAUUUCUUAUUUUCUUUACUAUGUGUGCAAUAUGGUAAAGCCAUGAAAGGUACUUAGGGUACCCCACAUGUGCAAGUGAAAUUUUUAAUUCCCUAAGUCCUAGAGAGUGGAUAUUUAUACGGUUUCCUAUUCUCAUUAGGACAAUGAGUCAGUCUUAUGUAAUGUUCUCCUUUUGAUUACCGAAUGUGAUUAUGGUUAAAUUUUCGCCAUUAAUGUGACUCUCUCUUAUUACGCCAUGUCUUAUUCAGCUAUAAUUGCUCCAUUUCAAGAUAAUCAGGAGAACCUGAGGUAUCUGAAUCGAUUCGAUCGUGAAGAUCUGUUCGAGGUCAACGCCAAUAAAAACUAAUAGAACAAAAUUAAAGAAGGAGGGUCAGAGAAGGCCCAAGGGCGAGGUAAACCAACAUACCCUAGCGCCAUGAGGUUCCGUUAAGGUAUGCACACGCCCACACCUCCAUUCUUUUACUUGAGCCAAGUAAAGAAUAGAUAAACGAAACGAGGUAGGCAAGCAUGCCCCUCUAUUCGCAUUAUUUUAUUAAAUAUUGACUAGAAGCAAAUGGCAAAACAAGCAUGUUUUUGACCAUUUCUGCAAGAGAGGGGCCAAGAAGGUCCCCGAAAAAAAAAAAAAAAAAAAAAAGGUACCCGGGGUACCCAAGAAACUCCACAAGUCUAUUUGAGAUGCGCCAUAAUCUUUAUUUUAUCCUAGUUGCGCCAAAUAUGAAUUUCGUUUUAUCUUAUGAUGAUGUGCGAAUUAUUAAAUUAUUUUGAGAUACACCAUAAUCUUUAUUAAGACGAGCAGUGAGCACAUCUACGGAAAUCACCACGCAAGCGCCAAAAAUACAUCAGGGGGGGUACCUGGGGCACCCGAGGAACCCCUGCAAGGCUACGCAAAUCAAUCAUAAGCAAGGAAUUCAAUGGCACUCCAAAUAAAGUAUAUUGCAGAAGUUAAUGCGAACGAGUAGGCAAGAUUGCCGAGGCAACCUUCCAAAAGACAAGUAUCCCCAACACAUCAAAAUGAUAAUACCAUACUACAAAAAGUACAGAAGCAAAGAAAGAAAGCUGCUAAGACAUCUCAAGAUAAAGUUCUGAAUAACAAGUAAGAUCAAGCAGAUGGGGGACAUCCUCUCCACCGUUCCCCUCAACGGGGUAUCAACAGGAACACUCGCAGCCAAAGAGCGGCUACCCGCAUGAACAGCGCUAACCGAAGGGAGAUCCGCCUGGGGUACCUCAGAAGAUCACUGUGGGCUGUGAGAUGGGGGAGCCUGGGUAGCCCUCUUGUCCUCUAUCGCUUUAAGGAUGGCCGACUUAUCCACCCAUUUCUCCACCCGGGAUACCACCAGCUCAGGCUCGAUGCUCCAGACCUCAGUCAUGAUAAGAGUAAAGGCCUUGUCCAUCAUCUCCGGUUGGCGAGAUAGUAGCUCGCCAUGCUUAGACUCCGCCUCUUCCAACUUCCUAGACAAUCGGCUAUUCUCCCGGGCGUGGUCGUCCAAGCGCCUUUGCAAAGCCCUGACCUCCUCUCCUAACUUCUCUUCUCGAGACUGGCCGAGCCUAACCUCACCUCGCAGCCUCUCUACCUUGGUUUGUGCAGCCGAGAUGCCACUAAGGUCUCGGAGACCGUGGCUAAGGUAGAAAGCCGCCUACACAAAUAAUAAUAAAGAAAAGGAGAGGGAGUUAGGACGAAAAAAAAAAAAGAGAAAGAGAAAGAAUGAAAGGAAAAGAGUGAGAGGCACUCACGUCAUGACAAGCUUUGAGCGCUCGGCUAUAGCGCUCAUUUAAAUCUAAUUUAUCUGCCUCUAUUGCCAUGUCUGUGGAAAUACUCUCGGAGGAAUGAAGGAAGCAAUCAGUCAAGUGCGAUAUCCGCUUGUUAGCCACCGGAUCCAGCUCGCCCUCCAUAAGGUCUCCAGGAGCCGUGAAAAGGGAGCCAAACUUCCUCUUGUGGGUAGCCAGGGUACCCCGAGAACCCCCAAGAGAGGAGACGGGCAAUUUACCUUUGCCGCCUGGAACGACGGGAGGUCGGUCACCUUUUGCGGAGGUACCCAGGGUACCGGAGGAGCUGCCGCUCAUGCGACUGAAGAAGGCGUCAAAAUCUUCGCCAAAAGGGUCCAUGCCUAUCCAAUAAAAAAAGAGAUGAGACAAAGAGACAAAUCAGGAAAAUAAACAGAGUCGUCAUUGGCAAAAAGGCACAUUGAGAAAAAAUAAGAGAUGGCCACCAAAGCAUAAAAAAAAAAAGUUUGUUCAAAUAAAGGGGGCACCCCACAGAACCAAUGAAGGCGGGGUACCCCAGCAACACCACAUAGCCAUACGUGAAUCGCCCCCCGAAGAAGACUGAAAACUCUCCUUAAUCAGACCAGCUCUCACCAACCGGGAAGUGCACAGAACAUCACCCUCACUCUGUAAAAUCUGGAACUUCUCUAUAACACUAUUAACUUUCCUCCCUACUUCAUGGAUUGGGCACGUUCCCUUGGUCCAACUGAUGUCUAUAAAAAACCCAAAAAAAAAUAAUGAAUAAGAAGAAAAUUCAUGCGAAGAGGUGUAUAUAUACAUAGAAAGGGAGAGAAGAGGAAAGAAACACAUACUAUCUUCAUUGAAGAAGUUCCGAACUGGCACAACUUUAUUUCCCGCUGGAAUGCUCUUCCCCCACUCACCCUCAGCCACAAACCACCCAUAUAUGUAGCCCUUUUUCAGCAAGGGAUCCGGUCUCACCAAAUUACCAUGAACCCCCCAAGUAGCAAAAUAGGCUACAGAUAAACCAGCGGGCUUCUUCAACUGAUAAAGCCUCCUUAGAUCUCCAUAAGAAAUAUCCUCCCCAAAAAUAUCUAGCCACAAAACCUCCAGACCCGUGAGCAAUCUCCAACCGGGUAAGGAUAACUGUCCGGGAGCAAUUUUCAUCUCAGUGAACAUUUUUCUAAAAAAUGGCUGAAGGGGUAAACAGAGACUUAAGUCAAAAAUGUCGAUAUGAAGGGCAACACCAUCAGAAUGAGGGUGGUCGGGGCGCUCGCCCUUGCGAGGUACCCUAAGGUGGACAGAUUGAGGUAUGUUGUACUUGGCUCUAACCCUUUCUAAAUCUCUCGAGUAGCCAGCCUACCCCUUAGUGCAUAGAGCUUAGGAGCUACAGAGACAGAGGGAGAGAUCAGGGGAGGUUCUGGAAUGCUGACAGGAACAGGAGAUUUGGGUCUGGAUGUCUUUGCACGAGUUUUUCUAUGGGCUGGCUUAGUUGGGUGUUUGUCUUUAAUCUUUGAUUUUUUACUGGUUUUGGUUCGAGAUAACUUGGGACUAGGCGAAGGGGACCCAUUGUCGUCACUAAGGGAUAUAUAAGGGGCUGAAUCAGAAAGGGGAGCCUCCUCACUCGUCUCCCCCUGCUCCCUGACCACAUUACGACCCUUUUUCCCCAACAGUUUUUCUCCUCAUCUUGUUCUCCUAAAAACACAAGAUACAAAAAAAAAAAAAAAAAAACCUCCACAUCAAAAUAUACCCCACAACUUCAGACCUCAUCCAUCACAAGCCAAACACCAAUAUCCACCAAUAAAAGCAUAAACAAAAAAGAAAAAUGCCAACACUUUACAUGAAAACCAGAAACAAAUCCAAAAACAAAGCCACAACAUUAUUCUUCAAAAUAAAGAAGUCAAAAAUAGGUAUGAAAAAUUUUAUACCUAGAUCUCACCGAGAGUAGCAAAUUUCAGUCGCCAACAAGUAAGUUUAGACUAUAAAUCGCUAAGAGAAGUCACAAAUCGCCAAAAAUUGCUCAAAAGAUGGAGCUGUCCAGAGGCUGUCAUAGACACAAUGAAACCCAUUAGAGAUAUAAAAAAAAAUAGGGGGAGCCUGGAGAUAAAAAAAAAAGAGGAAGUCAAAAAAAAAAAAAAAAAAAGAAAACAGUCAGGGUGAUUUAAAAGGAAAAAGAGGAGGAGCAUGGAUUAAAAAAAAAAAAGGGCCACUGGAAGAAACGAAGAAGAAGCAAAAUGGGGGGGAGAAGAUGGCUUACCACAAGGAGAUCACUGCACUACCAGCCGAACGCCGUCGUCAUGCCACCACCGGAAAUCACGGGAGCCAAGGCCGGCCGAGAAGGAAGAAAAAAAAAAAGAAAAGGAAAAAGAAAGAAAAAAAAAGGGGAAUGAAAGAUGCCUGGAAAAAGCUAAAGAAAAGAGAAAAAUGAGGAAUGCAAAAAGAGACAGAAACUGUGAUGGUGGGCCGAGAGCAAGCAACAAAAAAAAAAAAAAAAAAAGGAGAUGGAUGUCGAAAGGGCAAGAAGCAAAAGACAAAUAAAGAAGAAAAAAUGGAGAUGGGGAGGCGUUGGAAAUUGGAGAAGAAGAGAAAAAAGUUUUUGGGGAUGGCAAAAUGAAAGAGAAUAAAGGGGGAAUGAAAACGUGCAGAAGGUGAUUUAUAAAAACAAAAAAAAUUGUGAAGCUGGUGAUUGAAAUGAUUUGACUGGUUUUUGAAUUUUAAAAGCCAGAGCAAGCAAGAAGCCACUGGAAGUAAUUAAAUUUGAUGGGAGAUUAUGUUGGGAUUUUCAAAAUAAACGACAAGAGAUUGGCAUUCACAUAAGGAGUUUUUAAUUAAACCUGACAGAGCACACUGCACGAAAAGAAGAUCAAGGAUGUUUGCGUGAGAUUGGUAUUUAAAAAAAAAAAAAAACCAGGGGGAUGUUCCUCCAGGAAGACAUGCAUUAGUUCAGUGUAUAAAUAUCGCCACGUGUCACGCACAGUUCCUCCAAGAGUUUCUUGUGCCUCAAUUACAUUCGCCACAAAGAAACUAGGGGGAUGUUGUUUGGGAAGGAAAUACGAGACCAAUGAUGAAGCGCCACGUGUCGAUAUGUAAGAGAUUAAUUUGUCUCGAGUACCUUGGGUACCUCGGGUAUCUCGAGUACCUUGGGUACCUCGGUAUCUCGAGUACUCUAGGUACCUCGGCUACCCUAAGGACUCCGGGGGUACCUCGGGUACACCAUGAAAUGAUAUAAAAAUCUUCGUAAAUAUGUGAAGGGAUAUGUGGGCCCCGAAUCUCAAAAAGAUCCAUUUGAUACGUGUCGAAAAAUAAGGAAACCUUGUGCCGCAAAAGAGGAGACAGCCGCCUGUCACGCUAGCGAAUCCGCCAAAAGUGUGAUAUUAUGACAGUUGGGACCACCAACUUUUCCUGCUACACCUGCAAAAUUACAACGGAAUUGCAGAGGUAAGCGGGACCACUCCACUACGCCCAGCACGUGAAUACGCCACAAACUUGCUCUCCACUGAUAUUUUUGAAACGUCUAAGCCGCCAUACGCAUGAAAAUAAGAAUAUUCCUGACAUGACAGCAAAGAACGCCACUAAAAUAGCGCCAGGUGGCACGACGACCGGGGUACACCAUAUAAAUACUCAGGUUUGAUUUUUAUCAAAGUAAGUAAACACACUCACCACAAAAAACUAGGGUUUCUUCAACCUCAAAAUCUCCAUUACCGAGAGCUUGCAAGCUCUCUAACCUGAGAUAACCCAAUUCUGACUUGAGCGUCGGAGUGUGGUCGCCGGCCACCCCCGGCUCCACCUCUGACCUCUUUUUUGGUUGUUUCGCAGGUUUAAGGCGAGUUUCACCAGCCCUCCACACCUGAAGUCAGACCCCCUCCAUAUCCACCGUCAUCUCAAUCCUCAUUCACUCCACAAAAAGCCUAAACAGCCCGCACGUGCCGAACAAGCGAGGUACCCCGCUCUCCGACAAAAAUAUAAAUUUAUUGCUCUUGGGUUGGUUUUUGUGGUUUUUUAUUCAUUGACCCAAAAUCAGCCGCAAACAUAACCAUUUACAGCAUUAGUUAUAAUGAGGCCCUACCAGUUAGUUGACUUCACAAUAGUAAAUUAAAAACAGUGACAACUCACAAUAUACGUAAUGUGCUCUGUCAGAGCUAUGCUGUGCAGGCUACAGUUCGGAAUGAAAAUCGAACCUGUAACAUUUGUGCUAAAGUAUUGGUCAAAGUAGGCUUGGCAUGAAGCAAGAAUUGAGCUAGCAAACUCUAAAAGCAUCACAAUCUUUGUUGUCAUCUUUACCACUUUUCUAAAAUUUUUUCUGCAACUUCACCUAAUUCUUUGUCAUUGCAAUUAAAUUUGAGACGACAAUUCACUUCCAGUUUUAGAAUUGUGGUCCCUUAUACUUAAUUUAUUUGCUCGUGUCUGAUUUAUAUUUGGUUUGUUCAUCAUCCCAGUACAAAGAAAAAUAGGAUAUAACAACAAGAAUAUAGCCACCUUCACAAGAUGAUUGUUGUGAAAUCCACUUUUUGGCAACGCGCUUAAUACAUGCGCUGUUAAAAAUUAUUAGAAGUACAGAUUUUACAACAUGAAAACAGAAAAUAAGGGUAUGGCUCGUGAUCUAUGAUUGAGUUCAGGGUUGGCUUUAGAGUAUAUGGGGCUUUAGGCAAAAAAUUUUUUGUGGGGCCUUUUUUUAUUUUACAAUUUUAAUACUUAAAGAAAUAUAAGACUAAAAAAUUCAUUCGACUUUUAACUCUUGAAUUUUAAUAGUAAUAAAAAAAUAUCUUAAAAAUUUUUCAAAAACCAAACCUAAAAAAAAACCAAGAAGAUAUCUUUUUUACUUCCAUUAAAAUUAUUACAAAAAUAAAAAAAACAAAUACAUAAAAACAAUAUUAUUUUCAAAUAGAAUAUUUAGAAUAGUAGAAAGUUGAGAUGAUGAAUUGAUUAUCAAAUAAUAGAUAUGCACAUUGUAUUUUAAGAAACUAAUUUUUCUUUUUUAAAUGAAUCAAUGAAUGUAAUAAUUCUCUUCGUAAAAAAAAGAGAGCAAGAAAUCUAUUUAUUUAUUGAUUUUUUUAUAUUACAAGGUUUUAAUGGAAAUUAAAAGGAAUAUUAAAAAGUCAAAGAAUUUAAUUUUUUAGGAAACUUAAAAGGUAAAAAAAUUUAUUUUUUUUUUGAAAAACUAAUAAUGAAUGAAUUAAUGGCUAAACAAUUUUAUUAAUUAUAUCUCUUGAACAUUAAGGUUACCAAAUACUGAUUUUCUGUUAAAAAUAAUAAAUUCUUAGUUGUGAUUUAACUGUUAAUUAUAAAGAUGGUCUAAUAGGCUUUUCUACAAUACAUAAUUUUUUUUUAAAAAGAUGAUUAUUAAUUAAAUAACUAUUAAGAAAUACUAAAAAAAAAAUGAGGCAUUCAAAAAAUAUAGGGCCUUAGGUAAUCGCUUUGUUCGCCUAUGCUUAAAGCCACCCCUGAUUAAGUUGGUGGGUUGAGUAAAUAUAUAGCUUCUAAACUUUUAUCUUUGAUGGUUCUAGUUUAAUAUCAAGAAUGCCAUUAAAUUUGGGACAUGUUUCAAGCAAGAACUUAUUGUUAAUACCUUUAGUAUUAGAAGUAUAGAUUUUCUUGACCUCCUAUAAGUUUUUAAUUUUCUAAUUGUGAGUUUUUAUUUCAUACACGCAUGCAUAUGAACACGCUAACUAGUUAUUUUAUAAUGGUCCUUUUCUUGUUAAAAAAUGUUUUAAUAUUAAUUCCCUUCCUCUGAUAAAAAAUUUCAACUUCAAUUCAAUUUUCGCUCAAUUUUCAGAAAUUGAUAAUUCAAGAGACUGAGAGAGAGAUAAAUCAUAGAAUAAAAGAACUUUUUGUUAUUUUUAUUUUUUAAUAAUGGUAAAUUCGGAAAUAAAUGAGUAAUUGAAAACUAAGGACAUGAAAUAAAUACAUGGGAUCAAAUAUCACUACUCUCACAAAAUUGUUUUGGCAUGAGUAGUGCAACAAAAUACACGAUACAUAGAAUUUACUACUCGUUACACAACAAUGAGUCAUACAAUUCAUGUAUCAACCUAAUUUAACUGAGGAUAUUUUAAUAAUUAUAUGGGUUAAGCAUAUGUAGAUAAUUUCAAACUAAUGUGGCAUGUGGAGAUAAUUAAAUAAUCACAGUCACACUAAAAGGCUAAAAUCAAGGGAUUUGUCUCCUAUAGUCAAUGAUAAUCUUCGAGGGGGAUAAUCCCUAUCUUAUAGGAGAAAGAUUCAUGUUGUAUCUAUCUCCUUAAGGAAUUUUAAAGUAACUCUAAGAUCAUAUGUCAACUAUAUAAUAAAUAAAUGAUAUUAUGACAUGUGAGUAUUUAUUUUUAAGAACAUACCUCCUCUUGAAGCCAUAAGAAUUAAGAUUCUGUCCUAUUUAGAAAACAAUCUCUACAUAUCCUCAAAAACCAUCAUUCGUUUAUCCUCUAGCCUCAGGUACAUGAUUCCUCCAUUUUAUAUUUUAUUACGAGUUUCUGAAACUUAAAUCUCUUUUUUAUUUGCUUUUUUGGUGUUUAUAUGUUAAUUUACAUCAGAUACUGAAAUUUUCUUAUUUUCUCUGUUUAUAAUCUUUUGAUUUUCAUUUUUCAAAUAUUUGCCAUGUAAUGUAAUUAUUUAUAUAACGGAAACUUAUGAAUUUUUUUUUUGGGAUAUCAGAAUUGCAAGUAAAUUGAGUUGGAGCAGAAGGUAUGUUGCCAAAAACAUUAAAUUUAGACAAUGUAUGGGUGCAAAUUUCUUAGUUUCAUAAACAGUUUGUAAAUGUUCAUUUUAAGAAAUGUAAAUGUUCAUUUUAAGGUACAUGGGUUUGCAGGCAGUUUAUAAAUGUGUGUGUGUGUGAUAUUCUUGUCACCUGAGAAAUGCACAUAGUCAAAUUUUGUGCAAAUUUUAAUGUAUUUGUAAAUGCAUAAGUCAAAGUGAAGUAUAUAUUAAGAAUAAUGAAGUCAUACCUAUAAGAACUGUUAAUUUUUAGGAAAGUAAAAUUUAAUAUAAGUUAAUUAUACCUUUACAUAGAAAGAAAAUAUUUUGUUUAAGAAAAUUAGAACUAAAGAUACAAGUAAAUAUGCAAGCAAAUUAAGAAUUCAAGAGAUUAAGGCUACCAGUAUUUAAGAAUCUACCACACAAUUCAACUUAACAAUUAUUUAAUUAUUAAUCAAUUCCUAAUUUUAAAAAGACAAAUCGAAAUCAAUUUAUGUCUACUUAUAAAUAUAACAAUUAAGUCCAAUAAAUUUAAUUUCAUUUAGCCAUGAGCCCAUUAAUAAUAAAUCAAAAUAAUAUUUGGCUUUUCUCCAAUUUGAUUUCUUUAAGCACAAUUUAUUCCAUAAUCUUCAAUAAAAUAAAUUAACCAUCUAAAAAUAUAAAUAAAAGAGACUAACUAAUAUAAAAAUAGAGAGGAAAUAUGUUAAUAUAUUAUGCCCAUCACCAAUUAAACUUGGUACUAAUUGUUACAUCGAAUUAUUUAAUUAGUUUGCAAGAAAAGGAAACCUAGCCUAAUUGAUUGGUAGAAGGAAAAAUAAAAGAAUUUUUAACAAAGAAGGGAAAAAUAAAAGAAAUUUUCAAAAAAAAGAAGCUAAGCCUAAACGACCCUGUUACUUAUUCUCUCAUUGAUUCCAUUACGGUGCUGCAGCCACUUUGACGUUUGAGUAUCGUUUCUUUGUUUAGGUAAACCAAUAUAAUAAUGCGGCAUUCCAUUGCCUAUUUCUCCCCUACAUAUUCAGCUACAGUUUCUGCUGCUGGGCCUCACCCUGAGGCAGUGGUUGUUCGAUUGUCGACUCUUAUAAUUUAUUUUAUCUUUUCUUUAAUUUUUCCCCACAAAUAGGGCAAUAACAAGCACACAGAUAUCCCUCCUUGCACUAUGAUGCAAUUAGUAACUUGGCAAUUGGAAAAAGUUAUAGAAAUUGUAAUAUCAAAUGUUUUUAAAAAAAAAAAAGAUUUUGAGGAUUUCUACCACUGCACCUUCUAAUGGGCUAAACAGUGCUACAAGUAUAAUUCCUUUCUCUUGUACACAGAACCCACCAUAUUACUAUAGGUGAGAACUUUUUAAAAACAAUAUAAACUUCACUCUUGUUAAUUCAUGAACACAAAGACUCCAUUUAUAUAAGCAUUUAAAACAUGAAAAAGAAAAUAAUACAAUUGAUAUGAGCGAAUAAUGAUAGAUUAACAAAGAUUGAGUCGGUCAAUCUUUAUGCUAAUUAACAAUCAACUUUUCUUAAUCACUAAUUGAGACAGAAAAAAUCAAUAUUAAUUGAUUGUUUUGAAUAUUCUAUCAAUAUUACUUCAUUCUUAUCAAUAGGGAAUAAGGUUACUAUGCAAUAUGUAAGUAUUGAGCUUCAAGGGCUUUAUUUUAUAUAAUUGAUAAGUUAAGAUUCAUUCAUCCUAUCACUUACUCUCUUUUUGAGAUCAUUGGAGGAUAAGAAUAGAGAAUUCAAUUGAAUCACUUUUGCUUAUUGUGAUUUUGUUUACUCAUUAGCCUUGCUAGCAUGCUAGUAAAGCAACACUUUGCAACUGUUCCAUGGCAUUUUGAAUUUGUUAAUUUGGAUGUCUCAUGACCUUGAAAUUUAAGAUGUGUUUGGUACCAUUUUUUAUUUAACAUUUUUUAUUUUAUAAAAAUAAUUAAAAAAAAAGCGUUUGGUAGGAGUGUUUCAUAGUGAUAAUAAGAAAUUGUCGAGAAUGAAAUAUUUUCAUUCUUUAACUUUUCUUAACAAAUGUAGAAAACACAUUAUUAGCGUUAUCUGAAUUUUGUUUUAUAUCUUGUAUACAUUAAAUGUAUGGGGACCAUACUUUUGUGACUUUUGUAAUCUUUUUCUGUGAAAAAAAAUUGUGGGCCCAAAAGUAUUAAAUACAAACAUGGAACUUACAUGAUAAAUACACGGUAGAUUUUGUUAUGUUUAUGCAUAAAUAAAAUAAUAAUUAAUUUUUGUUGAAAUAAUCAUGGAUAUUAUAUAAAUUAGUAUAUAAUAUUUUAUUUAAUAAAACAUUUGAAAUAAUAUAAAAAAUAAAACUAGUCAUAAUUUGAUACCAAUAAUUAUUAUUACAUUAUUUUAUUUGUUUAUUCAAUUUUUGCAAAAAUAUAUAAAAUAACGAAAAGAUAAAUCUAAAAUUUAUAAAUAUAAUUUAACUAUUCUAAAAUAUUUUUUUAAAAAUUAUAUUAAAACACAUUUUCACUAUUUAUAUUUUUCAGAUAAACUUCCAAAUACAUUUUCAUUUUUACCAAAAAACUAAUCCUUCUUAUUUUCUAAACAAAAUUCAAAAACAACGAAACGAUACCAAACACACCUUUAUUUUUGAGAUUAUUUUGUGUUUCUUUUAUUAAUUUAAUAAAAAAAAUUGUGAAUGGGGCAAAUUGUCAUGGGCAAAUAAUCUCAGAUUUUCUAUAUUAAGACCAUAUCAUGAAAAUCGGAAACAAAUUAAUAUGGCUUUUUUUUUUUUUUUCUCCUUUUGCAUAAGUAAUGAAAGUUUUUGAGUUGGAGACAGCCUGCAGAAGCCACCAAAAAAUAAAGAAAAAUAGCAGAGCAUAUUUCUAGGCUAAUAGCCAGCUGUGAGAGUUGAUCAUCAAAUUCAUCUCUUGCUUUAUAAAGCAAAUUGCAGCGUGCGACGUGGUCCAUUGAAUUAUUGAAUUGAAUGGUAGGACAACCAACAAAUUAAAUGCUGCGUUUUGAGGAAAAGAACUAAAGAAGCUCAAAUUAUUGAUUAAUUAAUUUUACAAGAAAUUUUCUGCUCUCUUUGAUUCCAUUACGGUAUUGCUGCAGCUAGAUUUAAAGUUACAAUAUUCUAUUAAUGAAUAAGAAUAUAAUAAUAAUAAAAUUAUUGUUAUAUAAUUUUAAUAUUUUACUUUCUGGGUUCAGAAUUUCGGGCACUAACCAAACAAAAUGUGAUUAAUGUCUAGUUUUUUCGUGGAAACUCCUUCGGUGGUUAUCUUCUCCUUGCAGUAAUAACUGCAAAAUUAUUACAAAAGCAAAGAAAACUACAUAUAACAUUCUUUUUCUCUGUCUCUCUCUCUCUAUACAGUAGAGUGGUCUCUUUUAAUUAAGAGAGAGUUGAAGAAGAGUCAUAAAUUUCUCAUCUUGGCUUAUUGACUGAAAAUUCACGUUGCUGUUCUUGAAAAUUUUGAGAUCUGGUUUUGUGUUGAUUUGGAGAUGGGGAACCCAGAAGAUUUUUCAUAGAAAAGGUGGUCGUGGUUCAUAUUUCUUUUGUUUUUGACACAAUUUCCAUGCUUCAACUACACUCAUUGUCACUUACUUACUUUGUUAAUAAAGUGACAAAUAUAUUCGUAUGCUCAAAUGAAAUAUCUUCUGCUGGCUAUCAAACCUGGGCUUAAGCCUUUUCGUAAUGAUUUUUUUGUAUAUUUUUUUGAUAUACUUUUCUCUAUGAUUUUGAUCUCAAGCUUAUGUAUGGGAUUUACAAGGCAUCCUCUUUUGAGCCGAAAGCUUGUGCCAUGGCCUUUAUUGCUCAGGUUAAGUUCUAUAGUUGUUUAUCACUUCUUUAAUAAAUUUAGCCACAUCUUUGUGCUGACAACUUUUGAUCCGUUUAAUGUCCACGGGGAUUGUCUUCUUCUCCCUGAAAGCGUAUUCAAUAAGGCUAUUAAGAAAAAUUAUGAUGAAAAACACAAGUUCAAAAUUGAGCUUACUCCCAGACAGGUAGAAAUUUUGUAUUUCCUUCAGUGGUUUGGUGACCAUUUCAUCUUAUAUCCUUGAAUUCAUAAUAUUUCAAGCUUCUUCCAUGAAUUUAUGAUAUUUUAAAAUUUUCUUUUCAGGUUAGGAAGCUCUCAGAACUUUUCCGACCUGUUGCAGCCCAUGCAACUGCAUUACCUAUUCUCACUGCUUCCCUGCCAAGAGCUUAAAAUAGGGAAGUUUAUGCACUUGUAAGAGAGUCAAACCGGGAAAUAUUUGCUAGAGAUCCAUAUUCUAAUGCUAGUUCUAGGAGAUGUAAUCGAAUUUCUCCUGAAAGGGCAAUCAUGUAUUGUAUAUUUAAAGGAUCUGCACUAAGAGAGGAAGUUCCCCUUGAUAUAUACAUUACUGGAAAAGAGUAUCGUGCUUCUGGUCUUUAGAGAGAGAGGAAGAGCCUGGCUGCUAAUUCACACUGAUGCUUCUUUAGACAGGUACCAGAGAGGCCAUGAAAGAGGGCAACAACACCUUCUAAGAUACCCAUAUUCCAUAUAUGGUGACACCAUCACUCUAUCCAAGGGACUUGCUCCUGCUGAUCCUCUGUACUUGGCUGAGAGAGAUUAUCAGACUUAUUAUGUGGGUUCCAGACAUGAACAGCUAUUCAGAGUUUUCCCCUGUAGCUACAGCCUUCGAUUCCUACAAGCUAUUAUGGUGCUUCAUCUUUGGACCCAUAUCUGCCACCUCCAAGGAGAGAAGACAUGGCCUCAGGUUCCUACUCUGCUGCUGGAUUGAGAGUGACUUACAGAACUGAUCCCUUAAGAAGGGGAGAGAAUGAUGAAGCUGAUGGGUAAACUAUUGUAUGCCACAAGCGGUCUAUCAAACUACAACAGGCGAUACCCUAUGAAGUGCCCAAGCCGGAAUUGGCAGCCGCAUGUGUAUCAUUAAGGUACUCCUUUUCCCGUCCAUCUCUAUCUUACUGAUGACUGGUGUUUGAGUGUUUCAACUGUUCAUUCUCUGUACCGUUUGUUUCUCCUUUACCAAAUUUCUUUCUGUAUUUUGAGUCUAAAAGCAUAAUUGUCGACAGUUUGCCUGCUUUCAAGUAUAUUUCAAACCUUUCAAACCAUUUAGCUUUAUCCAGAAACUUAUGACUUUAUAGAAAGUAUUUGUUUCAUUGUAUCACUGAUGGUCAGGCCAUAAAAUUAGUUGAAUGAUGGUAUCAAGCGCUUUGCUAAUCCAACUUUCUACAAAUCAUAGACCUUUUCUCAUUCUGUAAUGGAGCCUUAGUUUGUUUCCAUUAUGUCAUUAUCUGUGCUUGAUCGGUCGCAUAUUCAUGUGCCAGAUAUUCACAUGGCGCGCGAGAGUUUCUAAGCCACUUUAUAGGACCUGCAAUUGUCUUAAACAAGCAUCUUCUUAAAUUAUUUUAAUUCCUAAUUUCUUAGGCUGAAGUAGUGUUCUGUGCUAUUGAGUUUUUUCAUGCCCCAUAUUCUGAAAAUUGAAAAUUAAUAUUUGUUUACUUUCCUCCUGAAGAUUGAAAAUUUAUAUAGUUAAUUUUCAAAUUGAGUAUGUUAUUUUAAAUGUAGCACCCAUCUCCUUUAAGGAUAUAACCUUUUAAAAACAAUAUAAAUUUCACUCUUGUUAUUUGACGAGUACAAAGACUCAAUUUAUAUAAGCAUUUAAAACAUGAAAAAAAAAUGAUAAAACUGAUAUGAGUGAAUAAUGAUAGAUUAAGUGAUUAAUAAAGAUUGAGUCAGUCAAUCUUUAUGCUAAUUAACAAUCAGCUUUUCUUAAUCACUAAUUCAGACGAAAACAAUGAAUUAUUAAUUGAUUGUGUUGAAUAUUCUAUCAAUAUUACUUCAUUCUUAUCAAUAGGGAAUAAGGUUACCAUGCAAUAUGUAAGUAUUGAGUUUCAGGGGCUUUAUUUAUAUUAUUGACAAGUUAGGGCUCAUUCAUCCAAUCACUUACCCUCUUUUUGAGAUUAUUAGACGAUAAGAAUAGAGGACUUUAGCUUAUUGUGAUUUUGUUUACUCAUUAACCUUGCUAGCAUGCUAGUAAAGCAACACUUUGCAACUGCUCCAUGGCGUUUUGAAUUUGUUAAUUUGGAUGUCCCAUGACCUUGAAAUUUAGGAUAUGUUUGCUAUCAUUUUUUAUUGAAUAUUUUUUUUUAUAAAAAUAAUUAAAUAGAAAAUGCGUUUGGUAGGAGUGUUUCAUAGCGAUAAUAAGACAUUGUCGAGAAUAGAAUAUUUCAAUUCUUUAACUUUUCUUAACAAAUGUAGAAAACACAUUAUUAGCGUUAUCUGAAUUUUGUUUUCUAUCUUGUAUACAUUACAUGUAUGCCCGUAUGGGGACCAUACUUUUGUGAGUUCUGUAAUCUUUUUCUGUGAAAAAAAAAUUGUGGGCUCAAAAAUAUUAAAUACAAACAUGAGACUUGCCAUGAUAAAUACAUGGUAGAUUUUAUUAUGUUUAUGCAAUAAAUAAAAUAAUAAUUAAUUUUUGUUGAAAUAAUCAUGGAUAUUCUAUAAAUUAUUGUAGAAUAUUUUAUUUAACAAAACUUUGAAAUAAUAAAAAAAAUAAAACUACUCAUAAUUUGAUAUCAAGGGUGCAAAUUUCUUAGUUUCAUAAACAGUUUGUAAAUGUUCAUUUUAAGAAAUGUAAAUGUUCAUUUAAGGUACAUGGGUUUGCAGGCAGUUUAUAAAUGUGUGUGUGUGUAUUAUUGUCACCUGAGAAAUGCACAUAGUCAAAUUUUGUUGCAAAUUUUAAUGUAUUUGUAAAUGCAUAAGUCAAGUGAAGUAUAUAUUAAGAAUAAUGAAGUCAUACCUAUAAGAACUGUUAAUUUUUAGGAAAGUAAAAUUUAAUAUAAGUUAAUUAUACCUUUACAUAGAAAGAAAAUAUUUUGUUUAAGAAAAUUAGAACUAAGAUACAAGUAAAUAUGCAAGCAAAUUAAGAAUUCAAGAGAUUAAGGCUACCAGUAUUUAAGAAUCUACCACACAAUUCAACUUAACAAUUAUUUAAUUAUUAAUCAAUUCCUAAUUUUAAAAAGACAAAUCGAAAUCAAUUUAUGUCUACUUAUAAAUAUAACAAUUAAGUCCAAUAAAUUUAAUUUCAUUUAGCCAUGAGCCCAUUAAUAAUAAAUCAAAAUAAUAUUUGGCUUUUCUCCAAUUUGAUUUCUUUAAGCACAAUUUAUUCCAUAAUCUCAAUAAAAUAAAUUAACCAUCUAAAAAUAUAAAUAAAGAGACUAACUAAUAUAAAAAUAGAAAGGAAAUAUGUUAAUAUUAUGCCCAUCACCAAUUAAACUUGGUACUAAUUGUUACAUCGAAUUAUUUAAUUAGUUUGCAAGAAAAGGAAACCUAGCCUAAUUGAUUGGUAGAAGGAAAAAUAAAAGAAUUUUUAACAAGAAGGGAAAAAUAAAAGAAAUUUUCAAAAAAAGAAGCUAAGCCUAAACGACCCUGUUACUUUUCUCUCAUUGAUUCCAUUACGGUGCUGCAGCCCACUUUGACGUUUGAGUAUCGUUUCUUUGUUUAGGUAAACCAAUAUAAUAAUGCGGCAUUCCAUUGCCUAUUUCUCCCCUACAUAUUCAGCCACAGUUUCUGCUGCUGGGCCUCACCCUGAGGCAGUGGUUGUUCGAUUGUCGACUCUUAUAAUUUAUUUUAUCUUUUCUUUUUAAUUUUUCCCCACAAAUAGGGCAAUAACAAGCACACAGAUAUCCUUGCACUAUAUGAAUGCAAGUAACUUGGCAAUUGGAAAAAGUUAUAGAAAUUGUAAUAUCAAAUGUUUAAAAAAAAAAAAAAGGAUUUUGAGGAUUUCUACCACUGCACAUUUUAGUGGCUAAACAGUGCUACAGGUAUAAUUCAUUUCUCUCGUACACAGAACCCACCAUAUUACUAUAGGUGAGAACUUUUUAAAAACAAUAUAAACUUCACUCUUGUUAAUUCAUGAGCACAAAGACUCUAUUUAUAUAAGCAUUUAAAACAUGAAAAAGAAAAUAAUACAAUUGAUAUGAGCGAAUAAUGAUAGAUUAACAAAGAUUGAGUCAGUCAAUUUUUAUGCUAAUUAACAAUCAGCUUUUCUUAAUCACUAAUUGAGAUAGAAAAAAUCAAUUAUUAACUGAUUGUUUUGAAUAUUCUAUUAAUAAUACUUCAUUCUUAUCAAUAGGUAAUAAGGUUACUAUGCAAUAUGGGGUAAAAGCUCAUUUAGUUCUUAUAGUUUAAGAUAAGUAUCCAUUUAGUCCCUAUUUUUUAAAAUACCUUAAAACUUCCCUGCCGUUAAAGUAUUGAUACCCCUACCGUUAUUUUUUAUUUUUUUUGGCUUACUUUUACAAUAUUACCCUUUAAUAAUAUUUUUUUGUUUGGACAUUAAUAAAAAUAAAAUAAUUAAAUUACCAAUUUAACCCUAAAAAAUAAAAAAAAAUAUUUAUAUUAAUUUUUAAUUGUCAAAAAUUGUAUGCAAACUACCAAGUGUGCAAACGGUGCUUGCAAAAAAAAAUUAAUAUAAAUUUUUUAUUUUUAGGGUUAAAUUAGUAAUUUAAUUAUUAUUUUUUAUUAAUGUCAAAAAAAUUAUUAUAAAAGGGUAAUAUUGUAAAAGUAAGUAAAAGAAAUGAAAAGUAACGGUAGAGGUGUCAAUACUUUAACGGUAGGGAUGUUUCGAGGUAUUUUUUAAAAAUACAGAGACUAAAUGAACACUAAUCUUAAAAUAUAGGGACUAAAUAGACUUUCACCCAUGCAAUAUGUAAGUAUUGAGCUUCAAGAGCUUUAUUUUUAUAUAAUUGAUAAAGUUAGGAUUCAUUCAUCCUAUCACUUACUCUCUUUUUGAGAUCAUUGGAGGAUAAGAAUAGAGGAUUCAAUUGAAUCACUUUUACUUAUUGUGAUUUUGUUUACUCAUUAGCCUUGCUAGCAUGCUAGUAAAGCAACACUUUGCAACUGUUCCAUGGCGUUUUGAAUUUGUUAAUUUGAAUGUCUCAUGACCUUGAAAUUUAGGAUGUGUUUGGUACCAUUUUUUAUUGAACAUUUUUUAUUUUAUAAAAAUAAUUAAAAAAAAAGCGUUUGGUAGGAGUAUUUCAUAGCGAUAAUAAGAAAUUGUCGUGAAUGAAAUAUUUUCAUUCUUUAACUUUUCUUAACAAAUGUAGAAACACAUUAUUAGCGUUAUCUAAAUUUUUUUUAUAUCUUGUAUAUUGUAUACAAUAAAUGGGAUUACUUUUGUUCUUUUGUUUUUUAUGUGGCCCAAAAGUAUUAAAUACAAACAUGGAACUUACAUGAUAAAUACACGGUAGAUUUUGUUAUGUUUAUGCAUAAAUAAAAUAAUAAUUAAUUUUUGUUGAAAUAAUCAUGGAUAUUAUAUAAAUUAGUAUAUAAUAUUUUAUUUAAUAAAACUUUGAAAUAAUAUAAAAAAUAAAACUACUCAUAAUUUGAUACCAAUAAUUAUUAUUACAUUAUUUACUUGUAUAUUCAAUUUUUGCAAAAAUAUAUAAAAUAACGAAAAGAUAAAUCUAAAAUUUAUAAAUAUAAUUUAACUAUUCUAAAAUAUUUUUUUUAUAAAAAUUAUAUUAAAACACAUUUUCACUAUUUAUAUUUUUCAGAUAAACUUCAAAUACAUUUUCAUUUUUACCAAAAAACUAAUCCUUCUUAUUUUCUAAACAAAAUUCAAAAACAACGAAACGAUACCAAACACACCUUUGUUUUUGAGAUUAUUUGUGUUUCUUUUAUUAAUUUAAUAAAAAAAAUUGUGAAUGGGGCAAAUUGUCAUGGGCAAAUAAUCUCAGAUUUUCUAUAUUAAGACCAUAUCAUGAAAAUCGGAAACAAAUUAAUAUGGCUUUUUUUUUUUUUUUCUCCUUUUGCAUAAGUAAUGAAAGUUUUUGAGUUGGAGACAGCCUGCAGAAGCCACCAAAAAAUAAAGAAAAAUAGCAGAGCAUAUUUCUAGGCUAAUAGCCAGCUGUGAGAGUUGAUCAUCAAAUUCAUCUCUUGCUUUUAAAGCAAAUUGCGUGCGACGUGGUCCAUUGAAUUAUUGAAUUGAAUGGUAGGACAACCAACAAAUUAAAUGCUGCGUUUUGAGGAAAAGAACUAAAGAAGCUCAAAUUAUUGAUUAAUUAAUUUUACAAGAAAUUUUCUGCUCUCUUUGAUUCCAUUACGGUAUUGCUGCAGCUAGAUUUAAAGUUACAAUAUUCUAUUAAUGAAUAAGAAUAUAAUAAUAAUAAAAUUAUUGUUAUAUAAUUUUAAUAUUUUACUUUCUGGGUUCAGAAUUUCGGGCACUAACCAAACAAAAUGUGAUUAAUGUCUAGUUUUUUCGUGGAAACUCCUUCGGUGGUUAUCUUCUCCUUGCAGUAAUAACUGCAAAAUUAUUACAAAAGCAAAGAAAACUACAUAUAACAUUCUUUUUCUCUGUCUCUCUCUCUAUACAGUAGAGUGGUCUCUUUUAAUUAAGAGAGAGUUGAAGAAGAGUCAUAAAUUUCUCAUCUUGGCUUAUUGACUGAAAAUUCACGUUGCUGUUCUUGAAAAUUUUGAGAUCUGGUUUUGUGUUGAUUUGGAGAUGGGGAACCCAGAAGAUUUUUCAUAGAAAAGGUGGUCGUGGUUCAUAUUUCUUUUGUUUUUGACACAAUUUCCAUGCUUCAACUACACUCAUUGUCACUUACUUACUUUGUUAAUAAAGUGACAAAUAUAUUCGUAUGCUCAAAUGAAAUAUCUUCUGCUGGCUAUCAAACCUGGGCUUAAGCCUUUUCGUAAUGAUUUUUGUAUAUUUUUUUGAUAUACUUUUCUCUAUGAUUUUGAUCUCAAGCUUAUGUAUGGGAUUUACAAGGCAUCCUCUUUUGAGCCGAAAGCUUGUGCCAUGGCCUUUAUUGCUCAGGUUAAGUUCUAUAGUUGUUUAUCACUUCUUUAAUAAAUUUAGCCACAUCUUUGUGCUGACAACUUUUGAUCCGUUUAAUGUCCACGGGGAUUGUCUUCUUCUCCCUGAAAGCGUAUUCAAUAAGGCUAUUAAGAAAAAAUUAUGAUGAAAAACACAAGUUCAAAAUUGAGCUUACUCCCAGACAGGUAGAAAUUUUGUAUUUCCUUCAGUGGUUUGGUGACCAUUUCAUCUUAUAUCCUUGAAUUCAUAAUAUUUCAAGCUUCUUCCAUGAAUUUAUGAUAUUUUAAAAUUUUCUUUUCAGGUUAGGAAGCUCUCAGAACUUUUCCGACCUGUUGCAGCCCAUGCAACUGCAUUACCUAUUCUCACUGCUUCCCUGCCAAGAGCUUAAAAUAGGGAAGCUUAUGCACUUGUAAGAGAGUCAAACCGGGGAAAUAUUUGCUAGAGAUCCAUAUUCUAAUGCUAGUUCUAGGAGAUGUAAUCGAAUUUCUCCUGAAAGGGCAAUCAUGUAUUGUAUAUUUAAAGGAUCUGCACUAAGAGAGGAAGUUCCCCUUGAUAUAUACAUUACUGGAAAAGAGUAUCGUGCUUCUUGUCUUUAGAGAGAGAGGAAGAGCCUGGCUGCUAAUUCACACUGAUGCUUCUUUAGACAGGUACCAGAGAGGCCAUGAAAGAGGGCAACAACACCUUCUAAGAUACCCAUAUUCCAUAUAUGUGACACCAUCACUCUAUCCAAGGGACUUGCUCCUGCUGAUCCUCUGUACUGGCUGAGAGAGAUUAUCAGACUUAUUAUGUGGGUUCCAGACAUGAACAGCUAUUCAGAGUUUUCCCCUGUAGCUACAGCCUUCGAUUCCUACAAGCUAUUAUGGUGCUUCAUCUUUGGACCCAUAUCUGCCACCUCCAAGGAGAGAAGACAUGGCCUCAGGUUCCUACUCUGCUGCUGGAUUGAGAGUGACUUACAGAACUGAUCCUUAAGAAGGGGAGAGAAUGAUGAAGCUGAUGGGUAAACUAUUGUAUGCCACAAGCGGUCUAUCAAACUACAACAGGCGAUACCCUAUGAAGUGCCCAAGCCGGAAUUGGCAGCCGCAUGUGUAUCAUUAAGGUACUCCUUUUCCCGUCCAUCUCUAUCUUACUGAUGACUGGUGUUUGAGUGUUUCAACUGUUCAUUCUCUGUACCGUUUGUUUCUCCUUUACCAAAUUUCUUUCUGUAUUUUGAGUCUAAAAGCAUAAUUGUCGACAGUUUGCCUGCUUUCAAGUAUAUUUCAAACCUUUCAAACCAUUUAGCUUUAUCCAGAAACUUAUGACUUUAUAGAAAGUAUUUGUUUCAUUGUAUCACUGAUGGUCAGGCAUAAAAUUAGUUGAAUGAUGGUAUCAAGCGCUUUGCUAAUCCAACUUUCUACAAAUCAUAGACCUUUUCUCAUUCUGUAAUGGAGCCUUAGUUUGUUUCCAUUAUGUCAUUAUCUGUGCUUGAUCGGUCGCAUAUUCAUGUGCCAGAUAUUCACAUGGCGCGCGAGAGUUUCUAAGCCACUUUAUAGGACCUGCAAUUGUCUUAAACAAGCAUCUUCUUAAAUUAUUUUAAUUCCUAAUUUCUUAGGCUGAAGUAGUGUUCUGUGCUAUUGAGUUUUUUUCAUGCCCCAUAUUCUGAAAAUUGAAAAUUAAUAUUUAGUUUACUUUCCUCCUGAAGAUUGAAAAUUUAUAUAGUUAAUUUUCAAAUUGAGUAUGUUAUUUUAAAUGUAGCACCCAUCUCCUUUAAGGAUAUAACCUUUUAAAAACAAUAUAAAUUUCACUCUUGUUAUUUGACGAGUACAAAGACUCAAUUUAUAUAAGCAUUUAAAACAUGAAAAAAAAAAAUGAUAAAACUGAUAUGAGUGAAUAAUGAUAGAUUAAGUGAUUAAUAAAGAUGAGUCAGUCAAUCUUUAUGCUAAUUAACAAUCAGCUUUUUCUUAAUCACUAAUUUCAGACGAAAACAAUGAAUUAUUAAUUGAUUGUGUUGAAUAUUCUAUCAAUAUUACUUCAUUCUUAUCAAUAGGGAAUAAGGUUACCAUGCAAUAUGUAAGUAUUGAGUUUCAGGGGCUUUAUUUAUAUUAUUGACAAGUUAGGGCUCAUUCAUCCAAUCACUUACCCUCUUUUUGAGAUUAUUAGACGAUAAGAAUAGAGGACUUUAGCUUAUUGUGAUUUUGUUUACUCAUUAACCUUGCUAGCAUGCUAGUAAAGCAACACUUUGCAACUGCUCCAUGGCGUUUUGAAUUUGUUAAUUUGGAUGUCCCAUGACCUUGAAAUUUAGGAUAUGUUUGCUAUCAUUUUUUAUUGAAUAUUUUUUAUUUUAUAAAAAUAAUUAAAUAGAAAAUGCGUUUGGUAGGAGUGUUUCAUAGCGAUAAUAAGACAUUGUCGAGAAUAGAAUAUUUCAAUUCUUUAACUUUUC